CCUACGGGGGGCUGCAGUCGAGAAUCUUUCGCAAUGGGCGAAAGCCUGACGAAGCGACGCCGCGUGUGUGAUGAAGGCUCUAGGGUUGUAAAGCACUUUCGCUUGGGAACAAGAAAGAAUGGCUAAUAUCCAUUUGAUUUGAGCGUACCAGGUAAAGAAGCACCGGCUAACUCCGUGCCAGCAGCUGCGGUAAUACGGAGGGUGCUAGCGUUAAUCGGAUUUAUUGGGCGUAAAGGGCGUGUAGGCGGAAAGGUAAGUUAGUUGUUAAAUCUCGAAGCUCAACUUCGAAAAAGCAGCUAAUACUAUCUAUCUAGAGGAUAGACGGAGAAAAGGGAAUUCCACGUGUAGCGGUGAAAUGCGUAGAUAUGUGGAAGAACACCGGUGGCGAAGGCGCUUUUCUAGUUUAUUCCUGACGCUGAGGCGCGAAAGCAAGGGGAG
Molecule: ribosomal RNA, 438 nt
Filed under: uncultured bacterium
Lineage: Bacteria
Description: bacterial SSU rRNA
Rfam family: Bacterial small subunit ribosomal RNA
Source: RNAcentral